Molecule: transfer RNA, 69 nt
Filed under: Bambusiphaga taibaishana
Lineage: Eukaryota; Metazoa; Arthropoda; Insecta; Hemiptera; Delphacidae
Description: tRNA-Trp
Source: RNAcentral
AAGGAUUUAAGUUAAAUAAACUAUUAACCUUCAAAGUUAAAAAUAUAUUUUUAAAUAAAAUAAACCUUA